This is a long non-coding RNA of Molossus molossus (Pallas's mastiff bat), 573 nucleotides long. RefSeq lists it as uncharacterized. The transcript is spliced from 4 exons. Lineage: Eukaryota; Metazoa; Chordata; Mammalia; Chiroptera; Molossidae. The record is from RefSeq and is a predicted model, not a curated record.
AAAGAUUAUUACAAGCUGAAUUUGAAAUUGUAUAGCUGAACACCUCACAAACAUUGAACUGCGGAAACUCUAUAGCAAAUUUCAUAUUGUUGGAGACAGGCUCCGAAUCGAAUUCUCACUGACUGACUGCCCGCAUGUGGUUGUCGACUUGUGCAGGGCAGGGAGGAGCCUCGAAGGCCUCUGUCCACCCUGCGAUACCCCGACAGCCCGAGUGUGGAGGGAACACUGUGACCUGGCAGUUCUUCCUGAUAAAACUCCUCACGGUAAACUGUCGUGGGAGCCGCUCGUUUCUGACCCAUGGAUGUGAGCAAAAGUGUCGUGUGAGUUUCAGAAACCUUCCCCAAAAAGCCGUGAACGCACCACGUGGAGGCGAUGGCUGGUACUAACGUCUUCCCCACACCACGCAAGGAGGGCCACGCCUAGGAUGGCAGACCGGACACGUGCAAGGGGCUUGGGUCCCGACAGGAGGGUCUCUGCUCAGUCCUCAGCAGCAGCAUCUCAUCCUCUAAAUCCCUGUCCGGUAAGCAGUACCUGCCACCUCCUGCCAAAACCUAACAGUAUCCGUGGACACCG